Long non-coding RNA from Sycon ciliatum, 1708 nucleotides. RefSeq lists it as uncharacterized. Lineage: Eukaryota; Metazoa; Porifera; Calcarea; Leucosolenida; Sycettidae. The transcript is spliced from 3 exons. The record is from RefSeq and is a predicted model, not a curated record.
ACUUGCCAAGUAAAACUGUCAUCCCGUUAUUUUAUUGUUUCGACAUCGAGCAAGGAACCGGUUGCCAAUCUUCAUCCUCUUAGGCUUAGCUUCACCAAUAUUCUCCGUGUGGUUAUGUCCUCGCAGGCCGACCCACCCUGCCGGGCAGGGUCCACAGGCGUUAGUGCUGACAGUGGUGGAAAGGUUCACCUUUGGCUGUUGUUGGACUCCUCUUCUCUAAGUUCUAUUCAGAUAAGAUAGAGGCUCAUCAUAGAGCCCAUCAUUUAUAUUGUAGUGCCUGUUAUUGCCUUUUGAGCUUCGACCAAACUCGCCGACUUCUUCUCUUCUUCACCGCCACACUCCGAGAAGCCGACUGAGCCAGUUGCCCGAGCAAUGAGUCAGUCCGUGAUGACGAGAGACCUAGCCGGCUGUACUUCAGUUCCCUGGGAAAGCGGCCGCGUGACACAAGACGCUAGUGGACGAUGCGGAUGAAGGCCAUGGCCAGGGAGCUCCGGAGCCCUACGCGCACUGCACUGCACUGGUGACCAAAGGCAAAGGGCAAGCGCACUGUGUGCUCCCCAGUAUGUCUGUAGAUAAAGCUGAUAAACUGUAAUCCAGUACACGCGUGCCAGACUUUCGCGGUGAGCCCUCCGACGAGACGAUAAUUGACGGCCACUGUCGAAGCCAAGUAGAUCUACGCUCGAGUUUGCAUGCAGGUCUGGUCUUCGUCUCCCCACUGUAGCAUCUCGCUCCAGGUCGACUCUACUUCGGGUUGUCGCUACGGGCGCACACGUGAUCAAGAUUGCAGGAGAGAAAGCGUCUCGCGUCUGCAGUGGCCCGCGGUGCAAGCCAGUGCGCAGUGGCAGUGGGCCUGGUGGACUUGGGCCAAUGCGGCAAUGGCAAUACAAAUAACUCUGAAGUAAUGGCGCAUACAUCAAAUUGAACCGUACAUGAAGUUCUCAGUGCUCUUCAUACCAACAAGAGUGCAGUCAGACAACUGUGUUUGCGUGUACUGCAUUCCGCAACACCACGGCAAAGUAACUGUGAAUGGCGAGGGGCGAACUCCAGCGCUACUUCAUCCGGACCGCACCCACAACAACGAGCACGGACAUGAAGGUCAUUCUCAAAGAGAGGUAUGGCCCGACGCAAGUGCAAGGAGAAGUGAAGCAAACCGAUAGCAGAUCAGGUUGGGAGCAGGAAAUGCCGCACGUGUCAGCGGUGGUUCAGGAGCGCCGGAGGCCUCGCGGUCCAUAAAAGUCUACCCGAUGAUCGCUCUACGUGCAACUCAGUCACGGCAAUACCGGUGCCGGCGAGGACUCGGCUCUCGCUAUGCUGCCAGGCUCAUUGCAGCACAUGUGGCAGGUGCUGCCGAUCGAAGAGGGGUUUUCAACUCCACAGCUGUGCAAAGUAUAACAGAACUUUCGUUGGCCGCUAGCCUGCGGAGUGUGCUGCGCACCGCAUUCAACCAACAUACUGCAUGUCUGUCGGCCCCUCGUAUGAGGGGACAAGUGACGUCUGACGGCAAUGUUCAGGACAGGGACAGGGCAGGCGUGCGUGUAUAAGCAUGGGUGUGCGUGCGUGUGUUUGUGUGUGCAUUGUUCUUACGAACUGGUGUGGAUGGCGUAGAUGCAUGAGAUGGAAACGCUUCAAAUUUGUUCUUCAAACUGAUAGUAACGUCUUUGCAAAUUUGCACCAUAAUUAUCCUGACUGAUAGCGGGUACAUGUCAUG